Molecule: ribosomal RNA, 506 nt
Filed under: uncultured bacterium
Lineage: Bacteria
Description: bacterial SSU rRNA
Rfam family: Bacterial small subunit ribosomal RNA
Source: RNAcentral
GACGAACGCUGGCGGCGUGCCUAACACAUGCAAGUCGAGCGGGGUUGAAGCGAGAGGUAACUCGAACUUCUACCUAGCGGCGGACGGGUGAGUAACGCGUGGGCAACCUGCCUCAAGGUCUGGGAUAACAGCCCGAAAGGGCUGCUAAUACUGGGUAUGCUUGUGGCCUCGCAUGGGGCUAUGAGCAAAGGGGAAACCCGCCUUGAGAUGGGCCCGCGUCCCAUCAGCUAGUUGGUGAGGUAACAGCUCACCAAGGCGACGACGGGUAGCCGGCCUGAGAGGGUGACCGGCCACACUGGGACUGAGACACGGCCCAGACUCCUACGGGGGGCAGCAGUGGGGAUCUUGCACAAUGGGCGUAAAGCCUGAUGCAGCGACGCCGCGUGAGCGAAGAAGGCCUUCGGGUUGUAAAGCUACUGUCUGGAGGGACGAAGGAAGUGACGGUACCGUCCGGAGGAAGCCACAGCUAACUACGUGCCAGCAGCCGCGGUAACUCACGAGUAACG